UGCAUGCUUGGGUGGCACACAGAUAAAGUUCAAAUGACACAGAGAAGAUUAGCAUGGCCCCUGUACAUGGAUGAAACACACUCAUGGAGUAUAUUUAGCUUUGAU
Molecule: small nuclear RNA, 105 nt
Organism: Talpa occidentalis (Iberian mole)
Lineage: Eukaryota; Metazoa; Chordata; Mammalia; Eulipotyphla; Talpidae
Source: RefSeq, a predicted model, not a curated record